GGGUAACCUGCCCAUCAGAAGGGGAUAACACUUGGAAACAGGUGCUAAUACCGUAUAACACUAUUUUCCGCAUGGAAGAAAGUUGAAAGGCGCUUUUGCGUCACUGAUGGAUGGACCCGCGGUGCAUUAGCUAGUUGGUGAGGUAACGGCUCACCAAGGCAACGAUGCAUAGCCGACCUGAGAGGGUGAUCGGCCACACUGGGACUGAGACACGGCCCAGACUCCUACGGGAGGCAGCAGUAGGGAAUCUUCGGCAAUGGACGAAAGUCUGACCGAGCAACGCCGCGUGAGUGAAGAAGGUUUUCGGAUCGUAAAACUCUGUUGUUAGAGAAGAACAAGGAUGAGAGUAAAACGUUCAUCCCUUGACGGUAUCUAACCAGAAAGCCACGGCUAACUACGUGCCAGCAGCCGCGGUAAUACGUAGGUGGCAAGCGUUGUCCGGAUUUAUUGGGCGUAAAGCGAGCGCAGGCGGUUUCUUAAGUCUGACGUGAAAGCCCCCGGCUCAACCGGGGAGGGUCAUUGGAAACUGGGAGACUUGAGUGCAGAAGAGGAGAGUGGAAUUCCAUGU
RNAcentral lists this ribosomal RNA (568 nucleotides) under uncultured bacterium. RNAcentral describes it as "bacterial SSU rRNA". It matches the Rfam family "Bacterial small subunit ribosomal RNA", at positions 119 to 674 of the family's 1533-position model. The record is from RNAcentral.